Long non-coding RNA from Clupea harengus (Atlantic herring), 649 nucleotides. NCBI's taxonomy places the organism in Eukaryota, Metazoa, Chordata, Actinopteri, Clupeiformes, Clupeidae. The record is from Ensembl.
AAAGGUCUUAUUCUCUUCUUAAAUACUCCAUACCCACCAGUACAAGCUUGAAACACUAGAGGUCUUAUUCUCUUUUUAAAUACUCCAUACCCACCAGUAAAAGCUUUAAACACUAAAGGUCUUAUUCUCUUUUUAAAUACUCCAUACCCACCAGUAAAAGCUUUAAACACUAAAGGUCUUAUUCUCUUCUUAAAUACUUCAUAACCACCAGUACAAGCUUUAAACACUAGAGGCCUUAUUCUCUUUUUAAAUACUUCAUACCCACCAGUACAAGCUUUAAACACUAGAGGCCUUAUUCUCUUUUUAAAUACUUCAUACCCACCAAGUACAAGCUUUUCCUUUUCCUUCGUCUUCAGAGGCUUGUGGAAUAUAAUCUGAACAUUUUUGAAUUUGGUUGAAUCAGCAGUCAGCAGUUUUGGUCAGCUAGCAAUCACUGAAAACACAACAGCAGCACAGACAGCACAGACAGCACUGAUUAGAGUAAGAGGCGUUUGGCAUCGUAGGGUUAGGUUAGGUUAGGUUAGGUUAGGUUAGGUUAGAUUAGAUUAGGUUAGGUUAGGUUAGGUUAGACUAGGUUAGGUUAGGUUAGGUUAGGUUAGGUUAGGUUCGGUUCGGUUAGGUUAGCCUGACCCAGACCACAGAAGUGCAU